GGUUAAGCGACUAAGCGUACACGGUGGAUGCCCUGGCAGUCAGAGGCGAUGAAGGACGUGCUAAUCUGCGAUAAGCGUCGGUAAGGUGAUAUGAACCGUUAUAACCGGCGAUUUCCGAAUGGGGAAACCCAGUGUGUUUCGACACACUAUCAUUAACUGAAUCCAUAGGUUAAUGAGGCGAACCGGGGGAACUGAAACAUCUAAGUACCCCGAGGAAAAGAAAUCAACCGAGAUUCCCCCAGUAGCGGCGAGCGAACGGGGAGCAGCCCAGAGCCUGAAUCAGUGUGUGUGUUAGUGGAAGCGUCUGGAAAGGCGCGCGAUACAGGGUGACAGCCCCGUACACAAAAAUGCACAUGCUGUGAGCUCGAUGAGUAGGGCGGGACACGUGGUAUCCUGUCUGAAUAUGGGGGGACCAUCCUCCAAGGCUAAAUACUCCUGACUGACCGAUAGUGAACCAGUACCGUGAGGGAAAGGCGAAAAGAACCCCGGCGAGGGGAGUGAAAAAGAACCUGAAACCGUGUACGUACAAGCAGUGGGAGCACGCUUAGGCGUGUGACUGCGUACCUUUUGUAUAAUGGGUCAGCGACUUAUAUUCUGUAGCAAGGUUAACCGAAUAGGGGAGCCGAAGGGAAACCGAGUCUUAACUGGGCGUUAAGUUGCAGGGUAUAGACCCGAAACCCGGUGAUCUAGCCAUGGGCAGGUUGAAGGUUGGGUAACACUAACUGGAGGACCGAACCGACUAAUGUUGAAAAAUUAGCGGAUGACUUGUGGCUGGGGGUGAAAGGCCAAUCAAACCGGGAGAUAGCUGGUUCUCCCCGAAAGCUAUUUAGGUAGCGCCUCGUGAAUUCAUCUCCGGGGGUAGAGCACUGUUUCGGCAAGGGGGUCAUCCCGACUUACCAACCCGAUGCAAACUGCGAAUACCGGAGAAUGUUAUCACGGGAGACACACGGCGGGUGCUAACGUCCGUCGUGAAGAGGGAAACAACCCAGACCGCCAGCUAAGGUCCCAAAGUCAUGGUUAAGUGGGAAACGAUGUGGGAAGGCCCAGACAGCCAGGAUGUUGGCUUAGAAGCAGCCAUCAUUUAAAGAAAGCGUAAUAGCUCACUGGUCGAGUCGGCCUGCGCGGAAGAUGUAACGGGGCUAAACCAUGCACCGAAGCUGCGGCAGCGACGCUGAUGCGUUGUUGGGUAGGGGAGCGUUCUGUAAGCCUGCGAAGGUGUGCUGUGAGGCAUGCUGGAGGUAUCAGAAGUGCGAAUGCUGACAUAAGUAACGAUAAAGCGGGUGAAAAGCCCGCUCGCCGGAAGACCAAGGGUUCCUGUCCAACGUUAAUCGGGGCAGGGUGAGUCGACCCCUAAGGCGAGGCCGAAAGGCGUAGUCGAUGGGAAACAGGUUAAUAUUCCUGUACUUGGUAUUACUGCGAAGGGGGGACGGAGAAGGCUAUGUUGGCCGGGCGACGGUUGUCCCGGUUUAAGCGUGUAGGCUGGUUUUCCAGGCAAAUCCGGAAAAUCAAGGCUGAGGCGUGAUGACGAGGCACUACGGUGCUGAAGCAACAAAUGCCCUGCUUCCAGGAAAAGCCUCUAAGCAUCAGGUAACAUCAAAUCGUACCCCAAACCGACACAGGUGGUCAGGUAGAGAAUACCAAGGCGCUUGAGAGAACUCGGGUGAAGGAACUAGGCAAAAUGGUGCCGUAACUUCGGGAGAAGGCACGCUGAUAUGUAGGUGAAGUCCCUCGCGGAUGGAGCUGAAAUCAGUCGAAGAUACCAGCUGGCUGCAACUGUUUAUUAAAAACACAGCACUGUGCAAACACGAAAGUGGACGUAUACGGUGUGACGCCUGCCCGGUGCCGGAAGGUUAAUUGAUGGGGUUAGCCGCAAGGCGAAGCUCUUGAUCGAAGCCCCGGUAAACGGCGGCCGUAACUAUAACGGUCCUAAGGUAGCGAAAUUCCUUGUCGGGUAAGUUCCGACCUGCACGAAUGGCGUAAUGAUGGCCAGGCUGUCUCCACCCGAGACUCAGUGAAAUUGAACUCGCUGUGAAGAUGCAGUGUACCCGCGGCAAGACGGAAAGACCCCGUGAACCUUUACUAUAGCUUGACACUGAACAUUGAGCCUUGAUGUGUAGGAUAGGUGGGAGGCUUAGAAGUGUGGACGCCAGUCUGCAUGGAGCCGACCUUGAAAUACCACCCUUUAAUGUUUGAUGUUCUAACGUUGACCCGUAAUCCGGGUUGCGGACAGUGUCUGGUGGGUAGUUUGACUGGGGCGGUCUCCUCCUAAAGAGUAACGGAGGAGCACGAAGGUUGGCUAAUCCUGGUCGGACAUCAGGAGGUUAGUGCAAUGGCAUAAGCCAGCUUGACUGCGAGCGUGACGGCGCGAGCAGGUGCGAAAGCAGGUCAUAGUGAUCCGGUGGUUCUGAAUGGAAGGGCCAUCGCUCAACGGAUAAAAGGUACUCCGGGGAUAACAGGCUGAUACCGCCCAAGAGUUCAUAUCGACGGCGGUGUUUGGCACCUCGAUGUCGGCUCAUCACAUCCUGGGGCUGAAGUAGGUCCCAAGGGUAUGGCUGUUCGCCAUUUAAAGUGGUACGCGAGCUGGGUUUAGAACGUCGUGAGACAGUUCGGUCCCUAUCUGCCGUGGGCGCUGGAGAACUGAGGGGGGCUGCUCCUAGUACGAGAGGACCGGAGUGGACGCAUCACUGGUGUUCGGGUUGUCAUGCCAAUGGCACUGCCCGGUAGCUAAAUGCGGAAGAGAUAAGUGCUGAAAGCAUCUAAGCACGAAACUUGCCCCGAGAUGAGUUCUCCCUGACCCUUUAAGGGUCCUGAAGGAACGUUGAAGACGACGACGUUGAUAGGCCGGGUGUGUAAGCGCAGCGAUGCGUUGAGCUAACCGGUACUAAUGAACCGUGAGGCUUAACCUU
Molecule: ribosomal RNA, 2906 nt
Filed under: Escherichia coli
Lineage: Bacteria; Pseudomonadati; Pseudomonadota; Gammaproteobacteria; Enterobacterales; Enterobacteriaceae
Description: 23S ribosomal RNA
Rfam family: Bacterial large subunit ribosomal RNA
Source: RNAcentral